AAGAGGACGUUGCCCUUCGGGGUAUACCUCCCACCCUUUGUUUAUUAUACCUUUGUUGCUUUUGGCGGGCCCGUCCUCGGACCACCGGCUUCUGCUGGUCAGUGCCCGCCAGAGGACCUAAAACUCUGUUUGUUAAUAUUGUCUGAGUACUAUAUAAUAGUUUA
Molecule: unclassified non-coding RNA, 164 nt
Filed under: soil metagenome
Description: partial internal transcribed spacer 1
Source: RNAcentral